This is a non-coding RNA of Stegodyphus mimosarum, 73 nucleotides long. The record is from Rfam. Lineage: Eukaryota; Metazoa; Arthropoda; Arachnida; Araneae; Eresidae.
GCCUUCGUGAUGUAGUGGUCAGCACGCUGGGUUCGUAUUCCAGAGGUCCGUGGUUCGAGCCCGGGCGAAGGCG